Molecule: long non-coding RNA, 1246 nt
Filed under: Zostera marina
Lineage: Eukaryota; Viridiplantae; Streptophyta; Magnoliopsida; Alismatales; Zosteraceae
Description: long non-coding RNA (ZMAR_LNC004940)
Source: RNAcentral
CAUAUUCCAUAAUUAAUAUUCAAUACAUUAAUUAAUAUUCAAAUUAAAAAUAAAUCGAACUAUAAUUCAAAUUUCCAUCCGUAAGACUGUAAUUUAAGAAAUAAGAUUCACCUUAAAUCUAAGAAUACAAUCCUACAUUUUUAAAUCGAACUAUAAAAUUAUAUAAGAAAUAAUGCAUAAAAUUAUAAAUCUAACAAUUAUAAAAAUGAAAAAGUAAUAGAACCUUGUUACCUUGUUAUAGAAGAUCUUUUUAAGCUUCCGACAAAUGAAAUGACAAAUCCCUAAUUAACACUCAAGCGGAAAGCGUAGUCACUAGUCAACCUAAAAAAAUUCAGAAGCAUCUGUAUAAAAAAAAACAGCAUGGGAACUCUCAAGGGAAAAACACUUCUUUGAUAAUGUGAGAAAAUGGUUUUCACAAAUUAUCUCUAUGAUUAUGGAGGAUUAGGUGGGAAAACUAUAUACCAAAGACUCACUUAGUAGUUUGCCACUUUAUUCUGAGCAUAAUAAUGCAGCAGAUUGAAUUCAAGUCACAUAAUAAUGAAAUCCAAAAUUCAAAACAAAUCAUCUCAUUUGAUUGAAAUCUGGCAUCUUAUACUGUUAUUGAUUGGUGAUCGAUCUUGUGUGUUUACUAUAGAUAGUCUACUUAUUUCCUUUCAACUUGAUCAUUCUGAAAGAAAAUAAUUCUAAAACAACAUCACAACAUUUAUUUUAUACUUCAUAUUGUGUUAUUCUAUUAUUCUUCUUUUCAGAAUUUUAGUGGUGGUAAUAAUUUUUGGAAUAAAUAAUUAUAUUUACCUGUCAAAUGCCAGGUACCAACUGUAAUCGAUUUUCCAAUGCAUAACAAUUCUUGGGAAGUCUUUAGAUCUUCACCUAGGUUGUUGAGGGCAGACCGCAGACAGACACAGACACACAGUCACACACGCACUGACGCACACCAAUUUGAUCCCGCCUGAAGAUGGUAGUUAAUAGUUUGGGGGUAUGUUAUUGAUCUUGGACUCCUUGUGUACUAGAAACAACUUAUAUAGAAAGCAACGGAGGGAGAAAUCGUGAGGUGGAUGGGUCAUGCGAGUUGGGAGGAGAGAUUGGGGAAGAAAUUGAAGGAGGAGGAGGAGAAAUCGAUAGUUUUGGGGAAGAAGAUUGGGGGAAAGAAAUUUAUAUAUUAACCCUUAAAAAUAUUAAUAUAUUGUGAAAAUUAUACUAAACCCCCUAUAAAAAAUUUAAUUACAUAUAGGUCCUCCAAAAAUUU